RNAcentral lists this long non-coding RNA (450 nucleotides) under Rattus norvegicus (Norway rat). Its description in RNAcentral is "long non-coding RNA NONRATT029540". The record is from RNAcentral. Lineage: Eukaryota; Metazoa; Chordata; Mammalia; Rodentia; Muridae.
CCUCCCUCCCCAAGUGGAUAUGUGGCUGUGCAGACCAGGAGGCCCCCAGAAGGACUGAGUGUUGAGAAGGGAUGGCCAUGAGGUUGUGACAAGCUCCCCCCAUCCCCAGCCUCCAUGUAGGGAGCAUCCAGCGAAUGCAUGUGCUAUGCUGCUACAGGCACAGUGGAUAGGAGACUCUCUGGGAAGGGUAGGGCACUGACCAUUGCAGAAAUGGGUUUUAAAUGGCACAACAUUUUUUAUUCCACAUGAGACCAAAAGCUAGAGGUCUGGGAUUAAGCCCUGACUGCUGGCAAGCUUAGGACCAAGUGGGGUACCCUUCUUCACAGACACAUCCGACACGCUCUGUCUGGGAAUGAGAGAGUAGCCAGACUGAGCACAGGAGCAGGUCAUAGUGGGACUGGAGGUUUGGAAACACUAUUUCGUAGCUCAAAUAAAGUCCAGUUUGUACCC